CAGUUAUGUAGAUAAAGGAAGGCGGACUAGGUGGUGGUGGACAGUAUUGGGAUGGCGACUUUUUUGGUGGUGGCGGCGGAAGAGCAGGCGGUGAUGGUGGUGGAGGGCAUGGUGGAGGCGGCGACGGUGGUGGAGGACUUUGUACGCAUGAUGGGGUACACUUGAUGCCUUGAUCACCUGGUACCGUGCUCUCGUCAAGCUUCCUUGAUUCCAAAGCGUCGAUGGGGUAUGCAAC
This 235-nucleotide long non-coding RNA is filed under the name Gossypium barbadense (sea-island cotton). Its description in RNAcentral is "long non-coding RNA (GBAR_LNC002519)". Lineage: Eukaryota; Viridiplantae; Streptophyta; Magnoliopsida; Malvales; Malvaceae. The record is from RNAcentral.